Molecule: ribosomal RNA, 420 nt
Filed under: uncultured Nitrosospira sp.
Lineage: Bacteria; Pseudomonadati; Pseudomonadota; Betaproteobacteria; Nitrosomonadales; Nitrosomonadaceae
Description: bacterial SSU rRNA
Rfam family: Bacterial small subunit ribosomal RNA
Source: RNAcentral
GAGAAAAGCAGGGGAUCGCAAGACCUUGCGCUUUUGGAGCGGCCGAUGUCUGGUUAGCUAGUUGGUGAGGUAAAGGCUUACCAAGGCGUCGAUCAGUAGCUGGUCUGAGAGGACGACCAGCCACACUGGGACUGAGACACGGCCCAGACUCCUACGGGAGGCAGCAGUGGGGAAUUUUGGACAAUGGGGGAAACCCUGAUCCAGCCAUGCCGCGUGAGUGGAGAAGGCCUUCGGGUUGUAAAGCUCUUUCAGCCGGAACGAAACGGUCACGGCUAAUACCUGUGACCACUGACGGUACCGGAAGAAGAAGCACCGGCUAACUACGUGCCAGCAGCCGCGGUAAUACGUAGGGUGCAAGCGUUAAUCGGAAUUACUGGGCGUAAAGCGUGCGCAGGCGGUUUUGUAAGUCAGAUGUGAAAU